GAUGAAGAACGUAGCGAAAUGCGAUAAGUAAUGUGAAUUGCAGAAUUCAGUGAAUCAUCGAAUUUUUGAACGCACCUUGCACCCUUUGGCAUUCCGAAGGGUAUGCUCGUUUGAGUGUCAUUGUACUCUCACUCUACCGAUCUUUGGAUCGGGAGUGGUGGACUUGGGUGUUGCUGCUUUACCGUGGCUCACCUCAAAUGGAUUCGUGCAACUCCUGGUUGGACAUAGUACGGCGUGAUAAGUGUCUUCGCCGGCACCUCACUAGAGGGUGCCUGACCGGGAGCUCUGUGCUUCAAACCGUCUUCGGACAACAACUGACAACUUGACCUCAAAUCGAGUAGGACCACCCGCUGAACUUAAGCAUAUCAAUAAGCGGAGGA
RNAcentral lists this unclassified non-coding RNA (380 nucleotides) under soil metagenome. Its description in RNAcentral is "partial contains 5.8S ribosomal RNA, internal transcribed spacer 2, and large subunit ribosomal RNA". The stretch from base 1 to 120 matches the Rfam family "5.8S ribosomal RNA", at positions 35 to 154 of the family's 154-position model. The record is from RNAcentral.